GGAUAUAUCCGGCAAUAUUUUUGAAGAGUCCUUCGAUAGCCAAGAAAACACAAUUUUGCCAAAAAAAUCGUAUGACGCUUUAAGUGAUCCGCUUCCGGAGACAUCGGCAUCAUCUCAAAAUGAUAUUCUGAAAGCUUUGAGGGAAGUCCUGAAUGGGCAAAAGGAGUCCAACGCACGGCUGGCAAAGUUAGAGGAAAAUGUAAUUUGCGUUUCUGUUUUUGAUAAAUGUAUUUUCUCAUUGUAAAAAUACUUCUCAUACUUAAGCAAACGACUGUAAUACAAAAUCAAGCCAUUCUUAGCCAGGGAUUGGCUAGUAUU
Molecule: long non-coding RNA, 318 nt
Organism: Rhagoletis pomonella (apple maggot)
Lineage: Eukaryota; Metazoa; Arthropoda; Insecta; Diptera; Tephritidae
Exons: 3
Source: RefSeq, a predicted model, not a curated record